RNAcentral lists this small RNA (915 nucleotides) under Pongo abelii (Sumatran orangutan). Its description in RNAcentral is "retained intron". The record is from RNAcentral. Lineage: Eukaryota; Metazoa; Chordata; Mammalia; Primates; Hominidae.
UUUGUGCUUGGAAAACAAAGAACAGAGCUUGGGGCCCUCUUCUCCUGGGGGUGGUGGCAGGCCCAGAGGCUGUUGACAGGACCAGAGGCUGGAGCUCAGGGCUGGGCCUGGCAGGAGCAGGCUGCAGCCCCAGAGAUCCAGGAGGGGCCCUGCCGUUGAGGCCCCGCCCUCCCCACCCUGAGGUGGGGGCCCACCAGGAUGAGCAAGCUGCCCAGGGAGCUGACCCGAGACUUGGAGCACAGCCUGCCUGCCGUGGCCUCCCUGGGCUCCUCGCUGUCCCACAGCCAGAGCCUCUCCUCGCACCUCCUUCUGCCGCCUGAGAAGCGAAGGGCCAUCUCUGAUGUCCGCCGCACCUUCUGUCUCUUCGUCACCUUCGACCUGCUCUUCAUCUCCCUGCUCUGGAUCAUCGAACUGAAUACCAACACAGGCAUCCGUAAGAACUUGGAGCAGGAGAUCAUCCAGUACAACUUUAAAACUUCCUUCUUUGACAUCUUCGUCCUGGCCUUAUUCCGCUUCUCUGGACUGCUCCUGGGCUAUGCCGUGCUGCGGCUCCAGCACUGGUGGGUGAUUGCGGUCACGACGCUGGUGUCCAGUGCAUUCCUCAUUGUCAAGGUCAUCCUCUCUGAGCUGCUCAGCAAAGGGGCAUUUGGCUACUUGCUCCCCAUCGUCUCCUUUGUCCUCGCCUGGUUGGAGACCUGGUUCCUUGACUUCAAAGUCCUACCCCAGGAAGCCGAAGAGGAGCGAUGUGAGUGCUCGCGGGUAGGGGGGUGCAGCGAGGGUUACCCCAGCCCCAAGAGAGGGGAGUUGCGGGCAUGAGAGUCAGUCUGAAGCAUCUUGCCACCUCUGAGCAGCCUCCAGUAGCCUGAGGGGGAGCUUGGGUGGGGGUACCCCAGGCUGCUAGGGUGUAACUGUCCU